GAUAAGGUGUUUAGAAACUGAAUCCAUGCUUGGUUCAUGUUAAAAACACGAGUUCAUGAAGUUUCAAAAUCAAAAAUCUGGAGGUUGAAGAUGAAGUGCUUCACACGCUUUAGUGAGAAAAUUCAAAUCAAUGGUCAAUCAGAAUGCACCACUCAACCUAUCUGUUACAUUCAAAUGUUUUUAUUUCUUUUUAUUUCCUUUUCUUUUAAAAUUAUUUUUAAAUAGCUCAUUUAAUUUUUUUAAUCCAAUUUUUC
RNAcentral lists this long non-coding RNA (254 nucleotides) under Lathyrus oleraceus (garden pea). RNAcentral's name for it is "Pisum sativum (pea) long non-coding RNA (PSAT_LNC021989)". The record is from RNAcentral. Lineage: Eukaryota; Viridiplantae; Streptophyta; Magnoliopsida; Fabales; Fabaceae.